Molecule: long non-coding RNA, 1139 nt
Filed under: Dasypus novemcinctus (nine-banded armadillo)
Lineage: Eukaryota; Metazoa; Chordata; Mammalia; Cingulata; Dasypodidae
Description: lncRNA (ENSDNOG00000052921.1)
Source: RNAcentral
GGUGGGGGACCUGGAGCUCAGAGACGUUAAGUGAUUAAGUGACUUGACCAAGGUCACACAGCUGGUACGUGGUAGAACCAGGAGUCAAGCCCAGUUCUUCAGGCUCCUUGGACCAGGGUUCUUUCCACCAUAACCUGGGAAAGAUGGACAAAGAGGAGAGCAGCACCCUGGCCACUGGUGUAUCAGAGAUCAAGGACAGUUGCAGGGCAAGAAGGGAAGAUGUGGAAUUUCUCUGAGAGGCUUCUCUUGAUAGCUAGGAAGCUCCCAAAGCCUGGUGUCUGGACACUCCUCAGAAGCCUCCCCAGCAGGAGGGUCCCCGGAUGGCCCUCUUGUCCCCUGGAGGAAUGUCGAGAGCCGGCACUUCUGUUCCAGGGGCUCCACCGUCCACGUGCCUGUUCCAUGCCUUCUACUUCUGGAAUAUAAAACUGCAGCAUGUUCUGAAUUCCGUUUUUUUUGGAUUAAUGAUUGAACUGGGGCAGCUGGUACAAGACGCUUGGAGUUUCAAGUUCAAAGCCUUUGUAGAUCACAUCUCCUCCACUUCCUACACAGUUGACUGGACCCUACUAUCUAACAAUUCCUUGAUCAUUGCCACAACUUCACCAUCUUCUUCAGAUGCUGCUUCUCCUGAAGAUGUUUCCUCUGUAAUGAGAAGUAAACCAGAUGCAAAGAAGUCCAUGACUGUUGCAUAAAUAUCUGGUAUGAGUAAUUUCCAGUCUAACUCUCCACUUGCCUUUCUAACCGUGAUGAAAUCUGGUCCAAAGAAAACACUUUUUACUCCUUCAGUCCUGAAUAAUUGCCUAACCAGAGGGGAGCAAAAUGCUGCAGCUGGUGUUGGAAAAUCCAUGGUCCUUGUCUCAAGUACAGGUUUUCCUGAAAUAAACUUUAAGCUGUUGGGAUUUGAGGUAUCUGUUUGAAUGAACAUGUAUCUUGUUGUGUGAGAUAAGGAUGCCAGUAGUAGGAAAAGUGAUCUUUGUACAAACUGAUGCAAAGACUGUUUCUUAAUGGUGUGUGGAUUCCUCAUUGUAGGACAGAAUCGCUUGCACAGCCCAGCAGCAGUGGCUGCAGCUCCCCAUGGCCACUGGACCGCCGCCAUUUUAGUUCAAGAGUGCUACGUAUAUCAAUAUAUUUUAAUUAUAGGG